UCGGGACAGAGGAGACAGGUGGUGCAUGGUUGUCGUCAGCUCGUGUCGUGAGAUGUUGGGUUAAGUCCCGCAACGAGCGCAACCCUUGACUUUAGUUGCCAGCAUGUAAUGGUGGGCACUCUAGAGUGACUGCCGGUGACAAACCGGAGGAAGGUGGGGAUGACGUCAAAUCAUCAUGCCCCUUAUGACCUGGGCUACACACGUACUACAAUGGCCGGUACAACGGGAGGCGAAGGAGCGAUCUGGAGCGAAUCCUAGAAAAGCCGGUCUCAGUUCGGAUUGCAGGCUGCAACUCGCCUGCAUGAAGUCGGAAUUGCUAGUAAUCGCGGAUCAGCAUGCCGCGGUGAAUACGUUCCCGGGUCUUGUACACACCGCCCGUCACACCACGAGAGUUUACAACACCCGAAGUCGGUGAGGUAACCGCAAGGGGCCAGCCGCCGAAGGUGGGGUAGAUGAUUGGGGUGAAGUCGUAACAAGGUAGCCGUAUCGGAAGGUGCGGCUGGAUCACCUC
RNAcentral lists this ribosomal RNA (511 nucleotides) under uncultured bacterium. Its description in RNAcentral is "bacterial SSU rRNA". It matches the Rfam family "Bacterial small subunit ribosomal RNA", at positions 1020 to 1529 of the family's 1533-position model. The record is from RNAcentral.